GACGAACGCUGGCGGCGUGCUUAACACAUGCAAGUCGAACGGAAAGGCCCUGCUUUUGUGGGGUGCUCGAGUGGCGAACGGGUGCGUAACACGUGAGUAACCUGCCCUAGACUUUGGGAUAACUUCAGGAAACUGGGGCUAAUACCGGAUAGGAGCUCCUGCUGCAUGGUGGGGGUUGGAAAGUUUCGGCGGUUGGGGAUGGACUCGCGGCUUAUCAGCUUGUUGGUGGGGUAGUGGCUUACCAAGGCUUUGACGGGUAGCCGGCCUGAGAGGGUGACCGGCCACAUUGGGACUGAGAUACGGACCAGAGUCCUACGGGAGGCAGCAGUGGGGAAUAUUGCACAAUGGGCGGAAGCCUGAUGCAGCAACGCCGCGUGCGGGAUGACGGCCUUCGGGUUGUAAACCGCUUUCGCCUGUGACGAAGCGUGAGUGACGGUAAUGGGUAAAGAAGCACCGGCUAACUACGUG
RNAcentral lists this ribosomal RNA (468 nucleotides) under uncultured bacterium. RNAcentral describes it as "partial 16S ribosomal RNA". It matches the Rfam family "Bacterial small subunit ribosomal RNA", at positions 28 to 507 of the family's 1533-position model. The record is from RNAcentral.